Molecule: transfer RNA, 83 nt
Filed under: Kwoniella mangroviensis CBS 8507
Lineage: Eukaryota; Fungi; Basidiomycota; Tremellomycetes; Tremellales; Cryptococcaceae
Also listed under: 1 other name
Description: tRNA-Asp
Rfam family: tRNA
About the family: Transfer RNA (tRNA) molecules are approximately 80 nucleotides in length. Their secondary structure includes four short double-helical elements and three loops (D, anti-codon, and T loops).
Source: RNAcentral
UCCUUGUUCGUAUAACGGCUAGUAUGACCGCUUGUCACUUUCAAGUAACGCGGUAGAUCAGAGUUCGAUUCUCUGACAGGGAG